RNAcentral lists this ribosomal RNA (366 nucleotides) under uncultured bacterium. RNAcentral describes it as "partial 16S ribosomal RNA". It matches the Rfam family "Bacterial small subunit ribosomal RNA", at positions 338 to 696 of the family's 1533-position model. The record is from RNAcentral.
CCUACGGUGGGCUGCAGUAGGGAAUCUUCCACAAUGGACGAGAGUCUGAUGGAGCAACGCCGCGUGAGUGAAGAAGGGUUUCGGCUCGUUAAGCUUUGUUGGUAGUGAAGAAAGAUAGAGGUAGUAACUGGCCUUUAUUUGACUGUAAUUACUUAGAAAGUCACGGCUAACUACGUGCCAGCAGCCGCGGUAAUACGUAGGAGGCAAGCGUUGUCCGGAUUUAUUGGGCGUAAAGGGAGUGCAGGCGGUUCGAUAAGUCUGAUGUGAAAGCCUUCGGCUCAACCGGAGAAUUGCAUCAGAAACUGGCGAACUUGAGUGCAGAAGAGGAGAGUGGAACUCCAUGUGUAGCGGUGGAAUGCGUAGAUA